This 287-nucleotide ribosomal RNA is filed under the name Chlamydomonas leiostraca. RNAcentral's name for it is "partial Bacterial large subunit ribosomal RNA". It matches the Rfam family "Bacterial large subunit ribosomal RNA", at positions 709 to 1053 of the family's 2925-position model. The record is from RNAcentral. Lineage: Eukaryota; Viridiplantae; Chlorophyta; Chlorophyceae; Chlamydomonadales; Chlamydomonadaceae.
UAAGACCCGAUACUAUCUGAUCUAUCUAAGCGCAGGUAUGAAUGUUUCAUGACUGAACCAGUGUCUGUUGCAAUAGACUUGGACGACGUUUAGAUAGGGGUGAAAGGCCAAUCAAAGUUAGAAGUAGCUGGCUUUCUGCGAAAUCUAUUUGGGUAAAGCGGAGAUAUAGAACCGUCAAGUGUAUUGAGAGAUAAGAUUGGCGGAUUGAAUACUCUAGUCAGACUGUUGGUGGGAAGGUCAAUAGUCAAAAUGUAAAGAGUCAUAAUGCUUUGCUAAGGCCCCUAAAG